GGCCUGGUGGUGUAAUGGUAACACACCUGCUUUGUAUGUUGUGAUCCGUUUCAAAGUUUCUGUGGGAGAUCCUUGUUCAAUUUGAGGUCAGGCCA
Mycena latifolia is the source of this 95-nucleotide non-coding RNA. Lineage: Eukaryota; Fungi; Basidiomycota; Agaricomycetes; Agaricales; Mycenaceae. The record is from the annotation of a GenBank genome assembly.